RNAcentral lists this small RNA (148 nucleotides) under Papio anubis (olive baboon). Its description in RNAcentral is "Metazoan signal recognition particle RNA (ENSPANG00000041910.1)". It matches the Rfam family "Metazoan signal recognition particle RNA". From Rfam's summary of the family: The signal recognition particle (SRP) is a universally conserved ribonucleoprotein. It is involved in the co-translational targeting of proteins to membranes. The eukaryotic SRP consists of a 300-nucleotide 7S RNA and six proteins: SRPs 72, 68, 54, 19, 14, and 9. RNAcentral also lists the same sequence under 1 other name. Lineage: Eukaryota; Metazoa; Chordata; Mammalia; Primates; Cercopithecidae. The record is from Rfam by way of RNAcentral.
GCCAGGCGUGGUGGCGCACGCCUGUAGUCCCAGCUACUUGGGAGGCUGAGGCAGAAGAAUUGCUCGAACCCGGGAGGCGGAGGUUGCAGUGAGCCGAGAUCGCGCCACUGCACUCCAGCCUGGGCCACAGAGUGAGACUCUGUCUCAA